RNAcentral lists this small nucleolar RNA (76 nucleotides) under Neotoma lepida (desert woodrat). RNAcentral's name for it is "Small nucleolar RNA SNORD113/SNORD114 family". It matches the Rfam family "Small nucleolar RNA SNORD113/SNORD114 family". Rfam says of the family: The imprinted human domain at 14q32 contains two clusters of tandemly repeated small nucleolar RNAs named 14q(I) and 14q(II) snoRNAs. These two clusters are named SNORD113 and SNORD114 respectively in the HGNC approved gene symbol nomenclature. The snoRNAs found in both clusters are clearly related and are represented here by a single family. Lineage: Eukaryota; Metazoa; Chordata; Mammalia; Rodentia; Cricetidae. The record is from Rfam by way of RNAcentral.
UGGACCGAUGAUGACCUGCCCCGGCGGUGAUAUAAGUCAAGGACGAUGACUACAAUUUUCUGUGUCUGAGGUUCAC